This 82-nucleotide small nucleolar RNA is filed under the name Cyclopterus lumpus (lumpfish). Its description in RNAcentral is "Small nucleolar RNA SNORD72 (ENSCLMG00005020712.1)". It matches the Rfam family "Small nucleolar RNA SNORD72". Rfam says of the family: snoRNA HBII-240 belongs to the CD family of snoRNAs. It is the human orthologue of the mouse MBII-240 and is predicted to guide 2'O-ribose methylation of the large 28S rRNA at residue U4590. The record is from Rfam by way of RNAcentral. Lineage: Eukaryota; Metazoa; Chordata; Actinopteri; Perciformes; Cyclopteridae.
GUCUUGUCAAUUAUGUUUUUAAACACAAAUGUCUGAACAAAUGAUUUCCAGUGAUUUCACUUUUUUGUUUCUGAGACAAGAC